CAGAAGUGAGAUCUGAAACCUAUGAUAGUAACGUGAUUUCAAAGUGUUCCAGGUGACCAAUGUUUCGUGUUAUUUGUCACGAAUGUUAUCACAAAACGCCCACGAUUCUAUGAUUAUAAUGGAAUAUGAUGAAGAGAGAAUGUCAAGGAAACCACGCUGACAAAGGUGUGAGAUGCAGAAAAGUAUUUAAGUACAAGAAAUGAUGGACGCAAAUUAUGAAGAUACUCCCUCCGUAACUUGGCUUGUGGUCACGUAAGUGGUGAACAAUUUGACUAACGAUGGCCCCAGAGCAGGUACGAUUUAUUAUUAUUAUCGAUUAUUCCAACAACAACAAUAUUAACACAUUUCCUUUUUGAGCAAAAUAAUGCAUGGAAGUGAAUGAAGCAUCAAAUGUUAUAGGUAUUGUCAGUCUUUACUGAUAAUGCCAGGAAUGUGUGUGAAAGCUAUGGUAUGUGCUCACUUUAAUUGCAAUGCCUAAUAAACUAUUUUAGUAAAUCAAAUUAAAUUGAACAGUGUUCAUUUGUUCAUGUUUACAUUCUGCAAAGAAUAACUUGUUGAGAUUUAAAAUCUAUAAAGAAUAGAUAGAAUUUGGUCAGAUAAAUUAAAUAAGUUUGGUGAUCAUGCCCGAGUAACCUCUUGGCAUUAUUUUGGAGAAGAAUUAAUAAUUAGUUUUAUUCAAGUAAAUUGAAGCUAAGGUCUGUGUUGUGUAAACCAGUUUUAGUAUCAUGAUGUUUCUUUCUUGAUGUUGAGCACUAUAAGAUGAGAUAAAAUCUAUUAAAUAGCUUAAUUUGUAAAUUGAAAUUAAGUAAAGCAGCCAGUUAUGCCGUUGAACAUGUGGUGUAUUUUUGGUACUCUUAUAGUGAUUGAUACUUCAAUUAUUGUGAAACAUAAUUAUUAUUAUGUUACAUGAUGCUAUAUUUUGAGUUAAGAUAAUGUUAAUAUUGAACUUUUCCAACUUAUCAAUUAAUUUCUGCUGCCAGUAGUGAUUUGGGUUGUAUCACUAAAAUUGAAAAUUAGUGUGGGUGAUUAAAAUUUAUCCAAUUAUUAUACUUAAAAAAAAAGACAUAGAAUGUGGUACAUUUAACUUAAAGAGUAUUCUUGUGUACCAGCCAUUAUUGUUGGUUAUUCUUCCCACAUGGUGAAAAUGAUUUUAAUCUUGAGGUUAUUUAUUAGCUGUUUAAUAAAAAGGUUACUGGUUGUAGCAUGUUGUGUGUGCAUAUUUUUAGAUUUGACUUGAGUUUUAGAUAUGGUGACUUAUCUGUCUGCGGGUUGGCCCUGUGGUGAGCAAAUCAGUCAAGUGCAAUACCUGAGUGAAGCUGAACACUGAACAAGGGUACUUCACAUAAGUGAUUUGGAGUUGGACCGAAGGUAAUGCAAUACAAAAGGCAUCAGCUGUGAUAUUUGGUGAGUGAAAAUGCAAUACAGAAGGAAUCAGCUGUGAUAUUUGAACCAAAGGUGGUCAGCGUGAGGUGCGAAUGGUGGUAGAGAUGGCAGAGUGGAUCUAGCCAGGUGCUCAGCUGGAUCCCAAUACGAGGCGUCAAGUGUGCCAUGAGCAGACCUUCGAGGGCGAAGGAAUUGCAGGAAGGCCGAACUGUUAAUUGUGAAAAAUAUAAAACGUUAAAAUAGCGGUAUCGUUAUAGCCAAUGAGCUGCUGUCAUAGUGACAUUGACGUAUUGUCAAUGUCACACGAGAAUCAAACGUCAGAAUAGAGGGACGCGCGGAGACGACUCCGCGCGCUUUUGUGCUAAGUGAUGAAUUGUAUCUAAAAUAAGGCAAUAUAAUGUGAAAGAUGAGUA
Long non-coding RNA from Ostrinia nubilalis (European corn borer), 1796 nucleotides. RefSeq lists it as uncharacterized. Lineage: Eukaryota; Metazoa; Arthropoda; Insecta; Lepidoptera; Crambidae. The record is from RefSeq and is a predicted model, not a curated record. The transcript is spliced from 2 exons.